ACUGUCUCAGACUAGCCAUGCAUGUCUAAGUAUAAAUGAUAUACAGUGAAACUGCGAAUGGCUCAUUAAAACAGUUAUAGUUUAUUUGGUAAUCGAAUUUACAUGGAUAACCGUGGUAAUUCUAGAGCUAAUACAUGCUGUAAAGCCCGACUUCACGGAAGGGCCGUAUUUAUUAGAUAACAGACCAAUAUUCCUCGUGUCUAUUGUGGUGAAUCAUAGUAACUAAUCGGAUCGCAUGGGCUAGUCCCGCGACAAACCAUUCAAGUUUCUGCCCCAUCAGCUUUCGAUGGUAGUGUAUUGGACUACCAUGGCUUUUACGGGUAACGGAGGAUUAGGGUUCGAUUCCGGAGAGGGAGCCUGAGAAACGGCUACCACAUCUAAGGAAGGCAGCAGGCGCGUAAAUUACCCAAUCCUAAUUCAGGGAGGUAGUGACAAGAAAUAACGGGUCGGGGCUAUGCCCCGGGACUGCAAUGAGAUGAAUUUACACCCCUUUUCGAGUA
RNAcentral lists this ribosomal RNA (500 nucleotides) under uncultured eukaryote. Its description in RNAcentral is "SSU rRNA". It matches the Rfam family "Eukaryotic small subunit ribosomal RNA", at positions 33 to 543 of the family's 1831-position model. The record is from RNAcentral.